CUCCUCUGCCCGGACCCGAUGCACAUCUAGAACCUUCCUCUGCCCCUUUCCCCUUCAUAUCCCCGCGCUAUUGCGCUUUAAUUCGAGCCAUAAUGGCCAUGGAGUUACAGGAAACGACCGCGACCAUUAACGCCGCCUCCAGUUGCUCCACGCCCACCCCCUCGGUAUAAAACCACACCGAGAUUCCCCAUUGCAGACCACACCCCUCCACCGAUCCACGCCCCCAGGCUGCCCCUGUGGAGGGCGAAUUUCUUCGCCGGAGUUCCGACGGCCGCCGCGACGUUUCGUCGAAUUCUCCGGCCGGAGGUCACCCACGACGAACACCCGACGCCAACAUCGCUGUAGCUGUCCGUCGACCAUCUCCGGGAGAUUCGCUGGAGAGUCCGAGUACGGUAUCGUCUACAUCAUUGUUCUUCUCCGGUGACGCUGUAUCAUCGACGCCGUUCCCACUGCCGCGCACGAACUCUCCGACAGUCUCUGUCAAAAAUCCCCGUCGAUUGCACGGAGUGUAGCGAGGAAUUUUAUCAAGAAGAAGAUCCUUGUUGCUGUUGUUCUGAAGGCAAGUUACACAUGACCUUUUGUCCUACUAUUUUUGAUAUGCAUGUUUUACAAAUAUUUUCGUAGAAAUGCAUGUGUAGGGAAAUUAUGCUUUGCUAUCCUAGUAGAGAGCCAUAGGAUUUCUUGCCAUGUUCCUUGUAGCCCUUUUAUUAAAAUGCGUAUAUUGUAUGAGUGCUUAGCCAAUUGCUUGGUAGACGUGGGAUAUGGGUUUUCAAAGAACAAAACCUUUUAUGAAAAUUUACAUGCGCCCAU
Molecule: long non-coding RNA, 810 nt
Organism: Lolium rigidum
Lineage: Eukaryota; Viridiplantae; Streptophyta; Magnoliopsida; Poales; Poaceae
Exons: 3
Source: RefSeq, a predicted model, not a curated record